RNAcentral lists this ribosomal RNA (507 nucleotides) under uncultured bacterium. RNAcentral's name for it is "bacterial SSU rRNA". It matches the Rfam family "Bacterial small subunit ribosomal RNA", at positions 23 to 518 of the family's 1533-position model. The record is from RNAcentral.
CUCAGGAUGAACGCUAGCGACAGGCUAACACAUGCAAGUCGAGGGGCAGCACGGGAGUAGCAAUACAACUGGUGGCGACCGGCGCACGGGUGAGUAACGCGUAUGCAACCUACCUAUCAGAGGGGAAUAACCCGGCGAAAGUCGGACUAAUACCGCAUAAAACAGGGGGCACCGCAUGGUGAUAUUUGUUAAAGAGAUUCGCUGAUAGAUGGGCAUGCGUUCCAUUAGGUAGUUGGUGAGGUAACGGCUCACCAAGCCGACGAUGGAUAGGGGAACUGAGAGGUUGGUCCCCCACACUGGUACUGAGACACGGACCAGACUCCUACGGGAGGCAGCAGUGAGGAAUAUUGGUCAAUGGGCGGGAGCCUGAACCAGCCAAGUCGCGUGAAGGGAAAAGAAGGAUCUAUGGUUCGUAAACUUCUUUUGCAGGGGAAUAAAGUGCAGGACGUGUCCUGUUUUGUAUGUACCCUGAGAAUAAGGAUCGGCUAACUCCGUGCCAGCAGCUGC